RNAcentral lists this ribosomal RNA (498 nucleotides) under uncultured bacterium. RNAcentral's name for it is "bacterial SSU rRNA". It matches the Rfam family "Bacterial small subunit ribosomal RNA", at positions 27 to 507 of the family's 1533-position model. The record is from RNAcentral.
UGGACGAACGCUGGCGGCGUGGAUUAGGCAUGCAAGUCGGACGGUAGGGCUUUAUCGUAAGAUACCCGAGUUUGAGAGUGGCGAACGGGUGAGUAACACGUAGGAAUCUACCCUUAAGACGGGACAACCCAGGGAAACUUGGGCUAAUACCGGAUGAGAGUGCGAGAGAUUGCAUUUAAAAGGAUGGCGAAAGUUGUCGCUUAGGGAUGAGCCUGCGGUCUAUUAGUUAGUUGGUGAGGUAAGAGCUCACCAAGGCGAUGAUAGAUAGGCGGCCUUAACGGGUGGUCGCCCACACUGGGAUUGAGAUACGGCCCAGACUCCUACGGGAGGCAGCAGUCGAGAAUAGUCUACAAUGGCCGGAAGGCUGAUAGUGCGACGCCGCGUGAACGAGGGAGCCCUUCGGGGUGUAAAGUUCUUUUCUAUACGAGCAGUGCUAUAUAUAUGGAUAGUAUAUAUAGAGGGAUAGUAGUAUAGGAAUAAGCAACGGCUAACUCCGUG